This 406-nucleotide ribosomal RNA is filed under the name uncultured bacterium. Its description in RNAcentral is "partial 16S ribosomal RNA". It matches the Rfam family "Bacterial small subunit ribosomal RNA", at positions 29 to 526 of the family's 1533-position model. The record is from RNAcentral.
AUUGAACGCUGGCGGCAGGCCUAACACAUGCAAGUCGAACGAGUGGCGGACGGGUGAGUAAUGUCUGGGAAACUGCCCGAUGGAGGGGGAUAACUACUGGAAACGGUAGCUAAUACCGCAUACCAUCGGAUGUGCCCAGAGGGGAUUAGCUGGUAGGUGAGGUAACGGCUCACCUAGGCGACGAUCCCUAGCUGGGCUGAGAGGAUGACCAGCCAAACUGGAACUGAGACACGGUCCAGACUCCGACGGGAGGCAGUAUGGGGGAAUAGUGCACAAUGGGGGGAAGCCGGAUGCAGCCAUGCCGCGGGUAUGAAGAAGGCAUUCGGGUUGUAAAGUACUUGCAGCGGGGAGGCGUUACCCGCAGAAGAAGCACCGGCUAACUCCGUGCCAGCAGCCGCGGUAAUUC